This is a long non-coding RNA of Equus asinus (donkey), 1876 nucleotides long. Lineage: Eukaryota; Metazoa; Chordata; Mammalia; Perissodactyla; Equidae. The record is from Ensembl.
GGAACACAGAAUGGAACUGCCUUCCCUUUACCUCAUCCCCUUCAUUUCCCACCCUCCCUUUCCUUCCCCCAAAAUAAGUGAAUAAAUGAAAGAAAAAUACUCAACAUCACUUCCUAUAAAAAAGCCAAGAGAUCAUGAGUCAAGUGAAGGCCCUAUUCUCAUCCAUCGGGAUCUGUUGUACCCAGCCUCUGGUGAAAUGUGGAAGAGGCCUUAGAGUGUUCACAGCAGCCCUGAACCAAAUCACAAGGAUUAAGAGCCAAAGCUAGACCACAAAGGCAAUGUGAUAGGUUGAAAUAGUAAGAGGCAUUCCAGGUCCACGGAUGACGUUUGGGGUGGUCAUGCCCACUUGGACCACUGUUCAAGGUCCUCUAAGAGUGACUGUAUGCGAGUUUGCGUGCAGUUGAAACAUAAACAGCCAUCUUAUCCCUGGCCUCAGUAAAAACUCUCCCAAGUUUUUUUGACUCCCGAAGAAGUUGGUCCCCCAUUUAUUUCCCCAGGUUCCACCCUCCAUUCAAGUCAAACUACGGUGUUAGAACACAGGUUUUCAACUUCUCUAGGAGAAUACAAGUCUCUCAUUCCCACAUCACAGACAAAUUCCUGGGUCUAACUUUUCUUUGAUACUUUUGUCUGUGGCUACCUGCACCCACCUGCUGGAAAUCAGCCUAAGCAAGCUGCUUUCAUGGAGGGGUCAGAGAAAGGAUUACUGUGCCUGGAGGUGUGUGGGAAGUUGCAGGGGAAGAAGCGAAGAGGCAGCUCUUCCCUGUGGUGCUUCAGGACUCAGUUCCUGCCUCUGCAUGGGCAGGAGAGUAGACUGGAUGUCCUUCCUCUGGUCCACUCCUAGCACAUAAGCCGCUUGCUGGCCCUUAGUCGGCUUCCUAGCAGGGAAGACCUGAACCCCCAUUGGCAAGCCCUCCUUCCCCGUCAUUCUGUGAAGCGCACUUAGUGACCUGAGCCUUUCUCCUGGUGAGCUUGGUUUGGCUUUUCCCCUUUGCUCCACCAGCUCUCAUACCUACUUGCUUCAAGGUGCAGCUCAUAUCCCUCUCUUCCAUGAGUCCACCUGCAGCUUAAUCUAGGCCCCAGGAAUUUUUCCCUUUUCUGUAUUUUUAUAGCACAUUUACAGCCUGUGCCACAAAAUCUAGUAUUUGAAUCUUAUUGGGAGCUGUGGUUCUCAACCCUUAAUUUUUGUUCGUAUUCCUGUGGGUUACUGUGGCUCAUCAUGGGGAACUGCUUUUGCGAUCAGAAGAUCCAGGUUCAGAUCCUGCCUCUGACCAUUACUGUAUGACCUCGGGUGAAUGCUAUAACCUCUCUUAGAAAAAUGGGGAUAACAACAUUUGCCACAUUCAUUUACAGUUAUAAGCAUCCAAUAAGAUCAUGCAUGUGAAAGUAUAUUAUACAGUCCACGUGAACAAUGUAUUGUUUAAACUCUAGUUAUUUCAAGCGUCCAGGUCUUGUGUCUUCCAAUUGAGUUGUAACUUCCUUACCAAUCAUCAUUGUCAUCAAUUAAUUAAACUUUAAAAAUAAAACAAUGAUAUCUCCUUCUAACUACUUUUUAAGCCAAAUGAUUUCCUUUCUCCUCUUACUGUAAAAAUUUAAAUACUAAUUUGAGCAUGCCAGAUAAUUAAAUGUAGACAAUUCUUUUUACAUUUGUGCAUCCUGUUAACCUUGCGCUAAGAACCAACUUCUGUCUUAUCUACAAUACUAUAUGCAGAAUAAAAAGUACCCAAGAUGGAAUUCAUGAAUUUAGACAGGCAUUGAGAUGAGUAUAUCCAUUAUGGGGUUAAAGCGGGCUCAAACCUGCAAAACAACUAAGAGUGAAAAGAAUAUUACAAAAAAGAUAUUCAUACUGCUGAAGAGAAUAAACCUUCUGAGCUUUCUG